AGCGAACGCUGGCGGCAGGCCUAACACAUGCAAGUCGAACGAACCUUUCGGGGUUAGUGGCGGACGGGUGCGUAACACGUGGGAACGUGCCUUUAGGUUCGGAAUAACUCAGGGAAACUUGUGCUAAUACCGAAUGUGCCCUUCGGGGGAAAGAUUAAUCGCCUUUAGAGCGGCCCGCGUCUGAUUAGCUAGUUGGUUGAGGUAAUGGCUCACCAAGGCGACGAUCAGUAGCUGGUCUGAGAGGAUGAUCAGCCACAUUGGGACUGAGACACGGCCCAAACUCCUACGGGAGGCAGCAGUGGGGAAUCUUGCGCAAUGGGCGAAAGCAUGACGCAGCCAUGCCGCGUGAAUGAUGAAGGUCUUAGGAUUGUAAAAUUCUUUCACCGGGGACGAUAAUGACGGUACCCGGAGAAGAAGCCCCGGCUAACUUCGUG
This 434-nucleotide ribosomal RNA is filed under the name uncultured bacterium. Its description in RNAcentral is "partial 16S ribosomal RNA". It matches the Rfam family "Bacterial small subunit ribosomal RNA", at positions 29 to 507 of the family's 1533-position model. The record is from RNAcentral.